UACGUAGGGUGCGAGCGUUAAUCGGAAUUACUGGGCGUAAAGCGUGCGCAGGCGGCCCGUUAAGACAGGUGUGAAAUCCCUGGGCUCAACCUAGGAAUUGCGCUUGUGACUGGCGGGCUCGAGUACGGUAGAGGGGGGUGGAAUUCCUGGUGUAGCAGUGAAAUGCGUAGAGAUCAGGAGGAACACCGAUGGCGAAGGCAGCCCCCUGGGCCUGUACUGACGCUCAUGCACGAAAGCGUGGGGAGCAAACAGG
This 253-nucleotide ribosomal RNA is filed under the name uncultured microorganism. RNAcentral describes it as "partial 16S ribosomal RNA". It matches the Rfam family "Bacterial small subunit ribosomal RNA", at positions 524 to 776 of the family's 1533-position model. The record is from RNAcentral.